CUCAAUGAGUCCGUGGCAGCAUUGUAACCAAUGAGGCUAAUCCGAGGCUCAGUUAUUGCUAAUUGAAAUUUUAGUGUGCUGAUGCACUGUAUGUCUCUAUUUCUUUGAAGCUCUUCUUUUGAGUAAACACACAAAGGAGUCUUAUGAAUGUUAGCUACACCUUCACUUGA
Podarcis lilfordi (Lilford's wall lizard) is the source of this 170-nucleotide non-coding RNA. The record is from the annotation of a GenBank genome assembly. Lineage: Eukaryota; Metazoa; Chordata; Lepidosauria; Squamata; Lacertidae.